This 454-nucleotide long non-coding RNA is filed under the name Homo sapiens (human). Its description in RNAcentral is "SLIT3 antisense RNA 1". Lineage: Eukaryota; Metazoa; Chordata; Mammalia; Primates; Hominidae. The record is from RNAcentral.
CACAUGCUUUUCAUCACCCGCUCUCACAUCCCAUCUGGGGCCUCUGCUUCCAUCCUACCAUUUCGCAAGCCUGGCCAACUCAAGCUCCGUGUGCUGCACCUAGAGCAGCCCAUCUCUGUGUCAGGGAGGUGAGCUGCUCAGUUGCCAGAGUAUCAACCUGAGCCCAGGACACUGCCAGACUGCUGAGUCAAAGAGGGUUUAGCAGCCCAUUUUCAUAGACAGACAGGUGAGAGGAGGAUGCUGGACAUGGUCCCAGAGACAUGGGGACUCAAGAAACAUGAAGAUCUGUUCACAGCUAAGGGCACAUUUCCAUGCCGAGAAAUCAGGCGUGAGCGCAAGAGUCCUAUCGUCUACCAGAAAAAGAAAUCUUUGGGAGAACUGCAAUCCAAGCAAAUGUGGUGGGUGUGAAGCUUUCAAGAAGUUGGGUCAAGAACAAGGACUGAAAGAGGAGCAU